RNAcentral lists this ribosomal RNA (238 nucleotides) under uncultured bacterium. RNAcentral's name for it is "partial 16S ribosomal RNA". It matches the Rfam family "Bacterial small subunit ribosomal RNA", at positions 116 to 354 of the family's 1533-position model. The record is from RNAcentral.
CGUGAGGAACCUGCCUUUCAGAGGGGGACAACAGUUGGAAACGACUGCUAAUACCGCAUAAUGCAUAGGUAUCGCAUGGUACAGAUGCCAAAGAUUUAUCGCUGAGAGAUGGCCUCGCGUCUGAUUAGCUAGUUGGUAGGGUAACGGCCUACCAAGGCGACGAUCAGUAGCCGGACUGAGAGGUUGGCCGGCCACAUUGGGACUGAGAUACGGCCCAGACUCCUACGGAAGGCAGCAG